UAGCAGAAAUUCUAGCAUUAAUUAGAUCUCAAACGGAUUCAUUUAAAGAAGUUAUAACUCCACCACCUGCAGGACGUCAUUCACCAACGUGGUUGAACGACAGGUUUACGACAAUACGGUUUCGGGAAACAGUCGUGACUAGCUAGAUGAUUUGUUCAACGAUGCAUCGUACUAUGGUAGUUCAGCAGCGAGUUACAUCGUUGUUUUGGGAAACGCACCCCAGAUGUUUAGAUUAGCUACCAGUGAAGAAGAAAUCCACUGAAAAUGCUGGAGGUUCUGCAUUUUCAAAAAACAAACAACAAAGUGCAGAUACGAUGUAAAUAAGAGAUUCAUUUGACAGUGUAGACAGCUUCAUUCAUAUAGCAGGAGUUCUUACGAGAGACCCUUGUUCAGAUGACUUGAAAUAUAGUGAACACAUUAACUAUUUUAUGGUAUGGUAUGAUGCUUUUUUUGUUCUUUUUGGCAAUCCAUGAUCACAUAGGGGUUUCAAUGUUAACAUGCAAAUGGGACAAUCAUUCAUUGAGUAUCUUAAGAGGAGAUUAAAAAGGCAUAUUAGAGAUCAAGUUCUAAUUAUGGCAUCUUUUAGAUCUGCUAAGUGGUCAUUUCUGUUUCAUAAUUCAUAUAUUCAUAUAUUAGAUGUACACGUGCUAUUCCAAGCACAAGCUUAGUUAGAGCUGGCACGUACAAAGAGUCCCUGAAUUCAUUCAUAAUUCAUCUUUCAUUUUUUACUGCCACCUAUGUGCUUCUGUCCAGUUCAAUGGCUCCGCCAGAGUGUCUGCAGCUAGUGAAGUGUCAUCAUGUCUGGGUUGAAAACAUGUUCGCAGGGUGAAGCGUGGUGUGGUUGGCAAGCCUCACCAGCAAGUGCAAAUGAUUCGGAUGCCAGGAAAGCAUGCCCUGAUCCGCACCAGACAUGCACACGCAAACCUCUGCACUACAUACCUGCAUUUAAACUCUGAUACAUGCACAUGGACAAACACACUCUCACACAGAAGGUGACCAAGAAUCUGGGUCCAAUGGGCGAGUGGAUCAGAGGAGGAGAUGGAGGCAAUAUGUGAGGAGUUGACAUCUUCAAACACAAGACCUGUUGUCACCUCAAGGCCUCUCCUGACCCGUCUGACCUGAGAGAAGCCAGGAAACUAGGGCAGUGGAGAGAGCCUGGAUACAGUGAGGAUCUGUGAGAAGAGGCAGAGGGAUAUGUAAUCGAAGAGGCCAGCAACUCUUUAUAAAUAGGCUUGGGUCACUAUCAUUGUAAAGUGAGGAGGAAUCUGAUCCUAGAUCAGUUUGCCCAGACUUUCAUGAACACGGGCACACCCAGGAUGAACCCAGAGAGGUGCAGACAACCAUUUUGCUUGAUGGUAAGGGAGAGACAGGGAGCGUGAGGGAUGGAUAUGAGGUUAUAGAUAGACAAUCUGUGGGUGAGGGACAGCCUCACUUCUUUUAAAUGUUCUUCUAUGACAGAUGUGAGACACUCAAAAGAGAGGGUGGUGGUGCAAAACUUUCUGGAUUAGAUCAUCACGUUGAAAAGGUAUGUCAAGCCUGUACUUUAAUAAGUAUUAUUUGAACUUAAAGGAUGGAUAAAUUACCAAAAAAAAGCAGAAAGAAAAAGGUCUAGUGCAGCAAUUACAGUUUCAUCAAUCCAACUUCAACGCGGGAGUCACUUUGGAUAAGCGACCUACUGGAUUUAUAAACCUGGGUUAAGAUGCAUAUUGCGCAACCUGACGGUUUCUUUUCUUCUUUUUUUUAUCGUUCGCAUUACACUGCAAAUAUGACAAGUGUGGACACAAAACAGUCAAUGUAUUAAGCUUUUUGUAAUUUCAGUGUCUUCUAUUUUAACAAGCUGUAAAAAAAGAAGCUCUUAAUAUUUUGUUUCAGCCCUCCUUUUUAUUUCAAGCCACAUCUGCAUAAGUUUAGGUUUAACUGUCCAGCCCACAAAUCAACUUUGACUCGAUUUGAGGACAUAUAAUUAGCCUUCAUAUAAUUACACUAAUCCAUAUAUGCCAGAAAUUAUUUAAUUGUUAUUUUAUGUUUGGCUCGUAAUGUAGAUGAUUCUCGAUGCCACUGCCUCAAGCAAUUUUCGUGCACAUAACGAAUAUAACAACACAAAAAAUUACGUUUUCUUCUUCUUCAGUUUUUCCAUAACACAAAAAGAGCGUAAAGUACAUCUCAUUGUCUAGGUGUAUUUAAACUUUUUUCCCUUUAUAUUAAUUGCGGUCACUUUUGAAUCGCCGGAGACGAAAAGUUGGCGACAGCUCCCUGUAAACGGAUAUAAACAAGAUUCAUAUCUUUAGAUUGCUCGAAUCACACAUCCAAAUCUUUACGACACGUCUGAAAUACCCGUCUAAAAUACCCUCAAACGUGGCUAACAUUAUCAUGGUUCAGCGUCAAAAAAUACAUAUAGGGACAUCGUAUUCAUGGCAUUCUCAUUAAUACAAUUCCCUGUAAGACUAAAGCUCAUACACUGUUUAUUUUAGCGGGUACAGCUCAAUCACUUAAGUCCAAUUAUAUCUAAUAACCAAGUGAAAACGAUUCAUUUUUAAAUGAAUUCCAAAAAGCCGUUCAUUUUGUAAAAAAAAACAUUAUCUUAAAAACAUGUUUAUGGUUUAAUCUGCUAAAAAGUCUGUCAUAGGUAACAGUUAUUGUUGUAAGGUCUUCGUGUAGCAAAGAAAUGUUUCUGUUUCAUAGAAAUACAACGCAUUUGACGUCACAGUGUCCUUCCGCAAAAACGAAUUCACACUAAUUCGUUCAAGUAUGACAAGACAAUUUGUCUUAUUUGCUGAGAUUACUGUUGUUAUUUUUCACAGGCAGAUUUCUCACAGAUACCUGUCCAAUACUCUCACUAAAUUGUACUCUUCCAGAGCAAUGUUGAACUCUCUAUACAUCGAUGUUUGUCAUUUUUAAGAUUUGAUAUUUUACAUUGAUGCGCAUUUUUAUGAUCCGUUCUGUGUCCUAGUCGUCAGUUUACGGGCAAACACUUAUUCAACAUUUUUCAUUUAGCUAGCUAUUCCAAAACAAAAAGAAAAUGAUAACAUAUUAGUUAUGUUCAACUCAUGUUAAACUUAAAAGAGAAUAUACAGUUUUCUUGGAUGAAAACUGGAAGAACAUAUUAUUAUACUCUUAAACAUUAUGAUCGCAAAUAAUAUUUCAUUUUUUAUUUUUUUAACCUGUUGCACUAAAAUGUAAAUGCCCAGCUAUUAUUUUAUAGCAUAUAAACAUUAUUCCGUACUGGGAUCCUCGAUCCUGUUGUGAGGCAAAUACAAAUAUAGUCGUUCUCGUCAAUUAAGUUUUAGCAGUCGCCACAAUUUAUUGUCUUCAGGUCUUUACCACCAAAAAUAUUGUCAGAAGUACCAUCCGCAUAAAUUAACACGUGUGGUCCUCGGUUGAACUUUUGCGUCCUUGUCGAGACAGCUCUCUAAAAAGUUCUCCUGUGGGCCUCAAGGACAUCCGUAAUUUAUCAGAGAACAAUCUUUAUUAGGCUAAAUGAAAGACAAUUAAUUUUGUACAGCAUGUAAACUUACGCUUCAUUUCAAAGUGCGUUUGUUAUUGUGUGUUUUCAAAAAAAAAAAGUAAUAUGACUGCUAUGAGCAUGAAAAGCUGUGAAAUUACCUCGCGGCGUAAAUUACACCUCGUUAUUGUCAGAUAUGUGUAGGCCUAUAUACAAGUAAAUUGUUGUUAAACACGGACAUUGCAAUAGGUUAUACCCGAACUUUCUUACACGUUUCUAACUGUGGUUUUCUAACAUGGUAGACACCUUAAAAGUUGACCUCUGUGUUAAAAAAAAAGUUCUGACGCUGUUCAGUUGCAGGUUUAGCUAUGUUUAUGUGCUUACUUCUUGAGUUGUAACAUCUAAAAAAGACUCGAUGGGUGAGAGUGCACUUUAAGUUUUGGGCCAAGGUCAACUCAGGCCCUGGUGCACUGUCACUGCUGAUGACCCCUCCUCAAAUAUGUGUGUGUGUUUUUAAAUCACUCUCACAAAUAAUAAAGUCUGACUAAAUAUAUUUGUAAAAUCUAUUUGAUCCAUCUGCAAAAUGCUUUGUUUAACUAUCAACAACUCUUCACAAUGAGGACAUUUGUCUUUGUGCGAUUCGAGCCAAACCACAGCCUACGGAUUUCAAAUAAUAUCUGAAUUAAAUCAUGAAGAUGGCUUUGUUGGCUUUAAUUGCAUACAACAAUUUGUUAUCUAAUUGAGUAUCUAUCGGACUCUUUAUUGGCCGCGGAGUGAAGCAGAAAAGCGACAAGCAAACUCCGUGAUGCAACUCUGUUGUAACUGGAGCAAUGGUCCGGUUGAUUCAGUAGGACACGCAUGCAUCACUACAUAAAGUAAUUAAAUUUAAUGCAAACUAUACUGUAUACAUGCAUGCAUACAUUGAAACUACUUACAUAGUAUCUUUUAACAGCCUGUCUGUCACCAUACGCCAGAACUUUGUCGCCUACAACUGUAUGGUUACCAUGCACUGAUUAAAUAUUUAAAAAAAAAAAAACUUCAAAGGCAUGGUAUAAUUAUCUACAUUACCAAUACAUGAAUACAAAAAAAAGAUGUAUACACAUAUAUAUGCACAUAUACAUAAUAAAGAUAUCCGUUUUCGCUGUCACAGUAUAAGCUACUCGAGCUUUGUCAUCGCAGCGCUUUGGUGAAGACUUGCCUGGCACUUCGCGCUUCCUACCCAGCGAGCGCGUAUCUUGCCCCGUACGAGUUGAGCUGUACAGUGAGUGGGGACACGUGAUCUCAUCUGAUCCCGUCGAUUUUGUUAUAGGGUGGAGGGUCUGGGUUUUGUGUACAUAAGGUCGUGUGCUGCUCGCUUCUUUUUCUCUCUCUCUCUCUCUCUCUCUCUCUCUCUCUCUCUCUCUCUUACUCCAAGUGCCACCGCUCCGCCUCCUCUUUUCGCAACAUUGACGCAAUGUAUAAAUGCUGGAACAAAAGGACAACUUCCUUGAAGCUUGGCGUAAUUGCAAUAAUAGAGAUAGAGAAGGGCUUCAUUGACACAGUGAUGGGAGUCCGGCGUUCUACCGGAAUAUCUAUACCGCCGCUUCUUUGGCUCGACGCACACGUUAAAUGGAAUUGCACUUUCCAGUUUAUUCCAAGCCUGAAGAAAGGAAUGUAGAGCACACGGCAUGACACUGAGCUGUGACAAAGUCAAGUAACUAUUGCGAAACGAGGACCGUGUAUGUGCGGCUGUGUGGGCGCGCGCCUCGCGUGAGUGCGUGUGCGCGCGCUCUGUGCGGGGCCUGUCGGUACUGUAGCAGCACAGAAUGGUUUGUGAGUUAUAACGGGG
This is a long non-coding RNA of Megalobrama amblycephala (Wuchang bream), 5270 nucleotides long. RefSeq lists it as uncharacterized. The transcript has 5 exons. NCBI's taxonomy places the organism in Eukaryota, Metazoa, Chordata, Actinopteri, Cypriniformes, Xenocyprididae. The record is from RefSeq and is a predicted model, not a curated record.